This 256-nucleotide ribosomal RNA is filed under the name uncultured archaeon. RNAcentral's name for it is "partial 16S ribosomal RNA". It matches the Rfam family "Bacterial small subunit ribosomal RNA", at positions 521 to 776 of the family's 1533-position model. The record is from RNAcentral.
UAAUACGGAGGGUGCAAGCGUUAUCCGGAUUUAUUGGGUUUAAAGGGUCCGUAGGCGGAUUAAUCAGUCAGUGGUGAAAUCUCAUAGCUUAACUAUGAAACUGCCAUUGAUACUGUUAGUCUUGAGUGAUGUUGAAGUUGCUGGAAUGUGUAGUGUAGCGGUGAAAUGCUUAGAUAUUACGCAGAACACCAAUUGCGAAGGCAGGUGACUAAACAUUAACUGACGCUGAUGGACGAAAGCGUGGGGAGCGAACAGG